Long non-coding RNA from Telopea speciosissima, 213 nucleotides. RefSeq lists it as uncharacterized. NCBI's taxonomy places the organism in Eukaryota, Viridiplantae, Streptophyta, Magnoliopsida, Proteales, Proteaceae. The record is from RefSeq and is a predicted model, not a curated record. The transcript is spliced from 3 exons.
AUGCACUAGGAGUUUACCUUUUUAUAGGUAUUAAAUGAAUGAGAAAAGGAGACAGUGAGAGAUCUGUGUACAAUAAGCCGAUGCUCUGGAUUAGAGUAAUGAAGGAAGCAUGGUACUGUGCACAGAGAUGGAACAAACAGGGUCCUCAUGUCUGCUUGCUUUGAUGCCCUUGUGGUUAUGAUUUUGCGGGCCUGGAUCCGACCUACAUUUUAA